CCCUUAGAUGUUCUGGGCUGCACGUGCGCUACACUGAAGCUAUCAACACGUUUUCCCUCCCUGAGAAGGGCGGGUAACCUUUUGAAUCAGCUUCGUGGUAGGGAUCGGGGCUUGCAAUUGUUCCCCGUGAACCAGGAAUUCCUAGUAGACGCGAGUCAUAAGCUCGCAUCGAUUAAGUCCCUGCCCUUUGUACACACCGCCCGUCGCUACUACCGAUUGAACGUUUUAGUGAGGCAUUUGGACCGACGCAUCUCAGUUUAACCGCUGGUUUGUGUUGGAAAGACUUCCAAACUUGAGCGUUUAGAGGAAGUAAAAGUCGUAACA
Molecule: ribosomal RNA, 324 nt
Filed under: uncultured eukaryote
Lineage: Eukaryota
Description: partial 18S ribosomal RNA
Rfam family: Eukaryotic small subunit ribosomal RNA
Source: RNAcentral